RNAcentral lists this transfer RNA (77 nucleotides) under marine sediment metagenome. RNAcentral's name for it is "tRNA-Pro". It matches the Rfam family "tRNA". Rfam says of the family: Transfer RNA (tRNA) molecules are approximately 80 nucleotides in length. Their secondary structure includes four short double-helical elements and three loops (D, anti-codon, and T loops). The record is from RNAcentral.
CGGGGCAUAGCGCAGCUUAGUAGCGCGCCUGCUUUGGGAGCAGGAGGUCGUGGGGGCGGAGCCCACUGCCCCGACCA